UACGUAGGGAGCAAGCGUUGUCCGGAAUUACUGGGCGUAAAGCGCGUGUAGGUGGUGGGACAAGUCUGCUGUGAAAGCGCCUGGCUUAACCGGCGAGGUCGGCGGAAACUGUCGCACUCGAGGACGGUAGAGGGGGUGGAAUUCCCGGUGUAGUGGUGAAAUGCGUAGAGAUCGGGAGGAACACCUGUGGCGAAGGCGGCCCCCUGGGCCGGCCCUGACACUGAGACGCGGAAGGCGUGGGGAGCGAACGGG
Molecule: ribosomal RNA, 252 nt
Filed under: uncultured bacterium
Lineage: Bacteria
Description: partial 16S ribosomal RNA
Rfam family: Bacterial small subunit ribosomal RNA
Source: RNAcentral